GAUGAACGCUGGCGGCGUGCCUAAUACAUGCAAGUCGAGCGAACAGACGAGGGGCUUGCUCCUCUGAUGUUAGCGGCGGACGGGUGAGUAACACGUGGAUAACCUACCUAUAAGACUGGGAUAACUUCGGGAAACCGGAGCUAAUACCGGAUAACAUGUUGAACCGCAUGGUUCAACAGUGAAAGACGGUCUUGCUGUCACUUAUAGAUGGAUCCGCGCCGCAUUAGCUAGUUGGUAAGGUAACGGCUUACCAAGGCAACGAUGCGUAGCCGACCUGAGAGGGUGAUCGGCCACACUGGAACUGAGACACGGUCCAGACUCCUACGGGAGGCAGCAGUAGGGAAUCUUCCGCAAUGGGCGAAAGCCUGACGGAGCAACGCCGCGUGAGUGAAGAAGGUCUUCGGAUCGUAAAACUCUGUUAUUAGGGAAGAACAAAUGUGUAAGUAACUAUGCACGUCUUGACGGUACCUAAUCAGAAAGCCACGGCUAACUACGUG
This 497-nucleotide ribosomal RNA is filed under the name uncultured bacterium. RNAcentral describes it as "partial 16S ribosomal RNA". It matches the Rfam family "Bacterial small subunit ribosomal RNA", at positions 28 to 507 of the family's 1533-position model. The record is from RNAcentral.